This 497-nucleotide ribosomal RNA is filed under the name uncultured bacterium. RNAcentral's name for it is "partial 16S ribosomal RNA". It matches the Rfam family "Bacterial small subunit ribosomal RNA", at positions 28 to 507 of the family's 1533-position model. The record is from RNAcentral.
GAUGAACGCUGGCGGCGUGCCUAAUACAUGCAAGUCGAGCGAACGGACGAGAAGCUUGCUUUUCUGAUGUUAGCGGCGGACGGGUGAGUAACACGUGGAUAACCUACCUAUAAGACUGGGAUAACUUCGGGAAACCGGAGCUAAUACCGGAUAAUAUUUUGAGCCGCAUGGUUCAAAAGUGAAAGACGGUCUUGCUGUCACUUAUAGAUGGAUCCGCGCUGCAUUAGCUAGUUGGUAAGGUAACGGCUUACCAAGGCAACGAUGCAUAGCCGACCUGAGAGGGUGAUCGGCCACACUGGAACUGAGACACGGUCCAGACUCCUACGGGAGGCAGCAGUAGGGAAUCUUCCGCAAAGGGCGAAAGCCUGACGGAGCAACGCCGCGUGAGUGAUGAAGGUCUUCGGAUCGUAAAACUCUGUUAUUAGGGAAGAACAUAUGUGUAAGUAACUGUGCACAUCUUGACGGUACCUAAUCAGAAAGCCACGGCUAACUACGUG